RNAcentral lists this transfer RNA (77 nucleotides) under Armatimonadota bacterium. RNAcentral describes it as "Armatimonadetes bacterium (hot springs metagenome) tRNA-Trp". It matches the Rfam family "tRNA". Rfam says of the family: Transfer RNA (tRNA) molecules are approximately 80 nucleotides in length. The record is from RNAcentral. Lineage: Bacteria; Bacillati; Armatimonadota.
AGGCCCAUAGCUCAGUUUGGUAGAGCGCUGGUCUCCAAAACCAGUGGUCGGCGGUUCGAGUCCGUCUGGGCCUGCCA